RNAcentral lists this ribosomal RNA (497 nucleotides) under uncultured bacterium. Its description in RNAcentral is "partial 16S ribosomal RNA". It matches the Rfam family "Bacterial small subunit ribosomal RNA", at positions 28 to 507 of the family's 1533-position model. The record is from RNAcentral.
GAUGAACGCUGGCGGCGUGCCUAAUACAUGCAAGUCGAGCGAACAGACGAGGAGCUUGCUCCUCUGACGUUAGCGGCGGACGGGUGAGUAACACGUGGAUAACCUACCUAUAAGACUGGGAUAACUUCGGGAAACCGGAGCUAAUACCGGAUAAUAUAUUGAACCGCAUGGUUCAAUAGUGAAAGACGGUUUUGCUGUCACUUAUAGAUGGAUCCGCGCCGCAUUAGCUAGUUGGUAAGGUAACGGCUUACCAAGGCAACGAUGCGUAGCCGACCUGAGAGGGUGAUCGGCCACACUGGAACUGAGACACGGUCCAGACUCCUACGGGAGGCAGCAGUAGGGAAUCUUCCGCAAUGGGCGAAAGCUUGACGGAGCAACGCCGCGUGAGUGAUGAAGGUCUUCGGAUCGUAAAACUCUGUUAUUAGGGAAGAACAAAUGUGGAAGUAACUAUGCACGUCUUGACGGUACCUAAACAGAAAGCCACGGCUAACUACGUG